UACGGAGGAUGCAAGCGUUGUCCGGAUUCAUUGGGUUUAAAGGGUGCGUAGGCGGACUAUUAAGUCAGUGGUGAAAGCCUGCAGCUUAACUGCAGAACUGCCAUUGAUACUGAUAGUCUUGAGUUUGGUUAAGGUAGGCGGAAUGUGUAAUGUAGCGGUGAAAUGCUUAGAUAUUACACAGAACACCAAUUGCGUAGGCAGCUUACUGAGCCGACACUGACGCUGAGGCACGAAAGCGUGGGGAUCGAACA
Molecule: ribosomal RNA, 251 nt
Filed under: uncultured prokaryote
Description: partial 16S ribosomal RNA
Rfam family: Bacterial small subunit ribosomal RNA
Source: RNAcentral